GUGGAUUAGAUACCCUGGUAGUCCACGCUGUAAACGAUGUCUGCUAGCCGUUGGGAUCCUUGAGGUCUCGGUGGCGCAGCUAACGCGAUAAGCAGACCGCCUGGGGAGUACGGCCGCAAGGUUAAAACUCAAAUGAAUUGACGGGGGCCCGCACAAGCGGUGGAGCAUGUGGUUUAAUUCGAUGCAACGCGAAGAACCUUACCACCCCUUGACAUCCAGAGAACUUUCCAGAGAUGGAUUGGUGCCUUCGGGAACUCUGAGACAGGUGCUGCAUGGUCGUCGACAACU
Molecule: ribosomal RNA, 288 nt
Filed under: uncultured bacterium
Lineage: Bacteria
Description: partial 16S ribosomal RNA
Rfam family: Bacterial small subunit ribosomal RNA
Source: RNAcentral